CACCUAGUAGCUCAGUGGUUAGAGCACUCGCCUUCCAAGCGAGAGGAUCAGGGUUCGAUUCCCGUGCGAGGCAAAACCUGA
Non-coding RNA from Callorhinchus milii (elephant shark), 81 nucleotides. NCBI's taxonomy places the organism in Eukaryota, Metazoa, Chordata, Chondrichthyes, Chimaeriformes, Callorhinchidae. The record is from the annotation of a RefSeq genome assembly.